This 104-nucleotide non-coding RNA is filed under the name unclassified sequences. RNAcentral's name for it is "cow-rumen-2 RNA". It matches the Rfam family "cow-rumen-2 RNA". Rfam says of the family: cow rumen metagenome. Environment (Cow rumen (57)) The record is from Rfam by way of RNAcentral.
AUCGAAGAAUUAUCUAGCAAGUAAUUCGUAUGCCGCCAUAGCAUUUCAUGAUGUAGCUGGAGUACAGGAUGACCGACCCAUAAGCAUGAAUAUAAGUCUCGAAU